UACGAAGGCCCCGAGUGUUAAUCGGAAUAAUUGGGCGUAAAGCGUCCGCAGACGGGAUGAAAAGUUCGCUGUUAAAUCAUAGGGCUCAACUCUAUGCUUGCAGUGGAAACUGUCAUUCUUGAGGAAUAGAGAGGUAAGCGGAACUCCUGGUGGAGCGGUGAAAUGCGUUGAUAUCAGGGGGAACACCAAUUGCGAAGGCAGCUUACUGGCUAUUUCCUGACGUUCAGGGACGACAGCGUAGGUAGCGAACGGG
This 253-nucleotide unclassified non-coding RNA is filed under the name uncultured bacterium. RNAcentral's name for it is "contains 16S-23S intergenic spacer region". It matches the Rfam family "Bacterial small subunit ribosomal RNA", at positions 524 to 776 of the family's 1533-position model. The record is from RNAcentral.